CCGGGACUGAGUGAGCCGGCCGACGAUCACGGUAAAGGUAUCGCGCCACAGACAGGGAUCGACCACCCGAGUGGGUUUUAUUUUAUUUAGCUGCAUACCCUUUUGUAUAUCAUGUUUUGUAUUUGAUGAUUAUAGAUGUUUAAAGCAAAGAUUGUAAAAGGUUCAUUUUGGGGAAUAUGUGAUGUAUGAAAGAAAUGAUGCAAAAUAAUGUAAAAGAAUACCAAGUUAU
Molecule: long non-coding RNA, 229 nt
Filed under: Ananas comosus (pineapple)
Lineage: Eukaryota; Viridiplantae; Streptophyta; Magnoliopsida; Poales; Bromeliaceae
Description: long non-coding RNA (ACOM_LNC032829)
Source: RNAcentral